This is a long non-coding RNA of Lacerta agilis (Sand lizard), 301 nucleotides long. RefSeq lists it as uncharacterized. NCBI's taxonomy places the organism in Eukaryota, Metazoa, Chordata, Lepidosauria, Squamata, Lacertidae. The transcript is spliced from 3 exons. The record is from RefSeq and is a predicted model, not a curated record.
GGCUAGAACCUAAUCUGUGUUGGAACGUUGCAAGGAGGACAUGUUGCUGGCAAUACCUUUUGUUACUUUUGCUGUAUGAUGUUUGUUGGGACAGACUGAGAAAGAGGUUCAAAUGCUUCACGGAGUGAUGAUAGCCAUCUUCCAACUCUGCUGCUCCUGUGCCUGCAACAUGGGACAUUUCUGGGAGAAAGAGGACUGAGACUGUGAAUGUGUUUUGCCUUGAGUCAGUCACUGAGUCUUAGUUAGACGGACAGACGGACGGACGGAUGGUUGAACAGACCAGCUUCCAACAUUCUCUCAC